UGGCCUCACAGUAUCUGCUGGUGUCUU
RNAcentral lists this non-coding RNA (27 nucleotides) under Mus musculus (house mouse). The record is from RNAcentral. Lineage: Eukaryota; Metazoa; Chordata; Mammalia; Rodentia; Muridae.